This 460-nucleotide ribosomal RNA is filed under the name uncultured bacterium. Its description in RNAcentral is "partial 16S ribosomal RNA". It matches the Rfam family "Bacterial small subunit ribosomal RNA", at positions 338 to 795 of the family's 1533-position model. The record is from RNAcentral.
CCUACGGGGAGCUGCAGUGAGGAAUAUUGGACAAUGGGCGCGAGCCUGAACCAGCCAAGUAGCGUGAAGGAUGACUGCCCUACGGGUUGUAAACUUCUUUUAUAAAGGACUAAAGUGAGGCACGUGUGCCUUUUUGUAUGUACUUUAUGAAUAAGGAUCGGCUAACUCCGUGCCAGCAGCCGCGGUAAUACGGAGGAUCCGAGCGUUAUCCGGAUUGAUUGGGGUGAAAGGGAGCGUAGAUGGGUUGUUAAGUCAGUUGUGAAAGUUUGCGGCUCAAACGUAAAAUUGCAAUUGAUACUGGCAGCCUUGAGUACAGUUGAGGUAGGCGGAAUUCGUGGUGUAGCGGUGAAAUGCUUAGAUAUCACGAAGAACUCCGAUUGCGAAGGCAGCUUACGAAACUGCAACUGACAUUGAUGCUCGAAAGUGUGGGUAUCAAACAGGAUUAGAUACCCGAGUAGUC